RNAcentral lists this ribosomal RNA (466 nucleotides) under uncultured bacterium. Its description in RNAcentral is "partial 16S ribosomal RNA". It matches the Rfam family "Bacterial small subunit ribosomal RNA", at positions 28 to 505 of the family's 1533-position model. The record is from RNAcentral.
GACGAACGCUGGCGGCGUGCUUAACACAUGCAAGUCGAACGGAAAGGCCCUGCUUUUGUGGGGUGCUCGAGUGGCGAACGGGUGAGUAACACGUGAGUAACCUGCCCUUGACUUUGGGAUAACUUCAGGAAACUGGGGCUAAUACCGGAUAGGAGCUCCUGCUGCAUGGUGGGGGUUGGAAAGUUUCGGCGGUUGGGGAUGGACUCGCGGCUUAUCAGCUUGUUGGUGGGGUAGUGGCUUACCAAGGCUUUGACGGGUAGCCGGCCUGAGAGGGUGACCGGCCAAAAUGGGAAUGGAGAACGGCCCAGACGACUACGGGAGGCAGCAGUGGGGAAUAUUGCAACAAGGGGGGAAGCCUGAAGGGGCAACGCCGCGGGGGAGAUAAAGGCCUUAGGGUUGAAGACCGUUUUCGCCUGUGGAAAAGAGUAUGUCAGGGUAAGGGGAAAAGGCGCCCGGGCAACCUGCG